AGUGACCUCUACCCGUUCAGUUGAGUUCUCCUUUAUGUCGUUUUUCAAAUCUUCCAUCUUCCCUUUGUUCUUGUGUCUGACAGGAGUGAGAGGAGGAGUAGGUGGAGGGCCCCUGGAUCUCGUAAAAUAGGAUAAUGUUGCCAGAGUUCACAAACUAACCUUUAGGGAGGGGAAUAAAUAAACAAAAAGUAAAAUCAAAAAGGUAAAAAGUCAGUGAGGAUACUAAAAAGAUAUUGCAAUAUUUAAACACAUAGUGUAAGAAUGUAAAGCGUGUCCUAAUUUGGGGACCUCUUUAUGCCUGAGGUAGGCUUAGCGACAAUUUGUUUUGGAGAACUUGGAAUGCUAAAUACCUCAUUUUAUUUAUAAAAAGUAGACGGAUCCAAAAUCGACAAUAAACAUGCAGGAAAUAAAAGUUGCUAGUGUCCAUUGGCCUUAUUACAUUUGAUAAAAAGAAGAAACUCCUAUAUAUUUGGUCCAGAAGGACCUUCCCAAGGUUAAAUGAUCUUAUUGAUCAAAUCCUCCAGUUCGCAUAGAUUUACCAGUAAAAAUGCCUUUGCCAGGUGUUAUCAUUCGUUUCCCUCAGUGUUCUGGCAAUUGGUGGCUCUCUUCCUCACUUUUCCUUCCAAUUCCAACAGAACGUUUUCCAAAUAUUCUAGCUUUUUGCAAGCUUUGGCGGCCCUCUCUUUCCAUUCAUUGAUUUGGCCAUUUGAUGGAAGACUCCGCCACCAGUCUAGCAAGAGUGGGGCGUGCUAAUCAUACCGAAACUGGGGACCUUGUG
RNAcentral lists this long non-coding RNA (778 nucleotides) under Nicotiana benthamiana. RNAcentral describes it as "long non-coding RNA (NBEN_LNC033299)". Lineage: Eukaryota; Viridiplantae; Streptophyta; Magnoliopsida; Solanales; Solanaceae. The record is from RNAcentral.